RNAcentral lists this ribosomal RNA (1437 nucleotides) under uncultured organism. RNAcentral's name for it is "16S ribosomal RNA". It matches the Rfam family "Bacterial small subunit ribosomal RNA". The record is from RNAcentral.
GCUUAACACAUGCAAGUCGAGGGGCAUCAGGAAGAAAGCUUGCUUUCUUUGCUGGCGACCGGCGCACGGGUGAGUAACACGUAUCCAACCUGCCCUUUACUCGGGGAUAGCCUUUCGAAAGAAAGAUUAAUACCCGAUAGCAUAAUGAUUCCGCAUGGUUUCAUUAUUAAAGGAUUCCGGUAAAGGAUGGGGAUGCGUUCCAUUAGGUUGUUGGUGAGGUAACGGCCCACCAAGCCUUCGAUGGAUAGGGGUUCUGAGAGGAAGGUCCCCCACAUUGGAACUGAGACACGGUCCAAACUCCUACGGGAGGCAGCAGUGAGGAAUAUUGGUCAAUGGGCGCUAGCCUGAACCAGCCAAGUAGCGUGAAGGAUGAAGGCUCUAUGGGUCGUAAACUUCUUUUAUAUAAGAAUAAAGUGCAGUAUGUAUACUGUUUUGUAUGUAUUAUAUGAAUAAGGAUCGGCUAACUCCGUGCCAGCAGCCGCGGUAAUACGGAGGAUCCGAGCGUUAUCCGGAUUUAUUGGGUUUAAAGGGAGCGUAGGUGGACUGGUAAGUCAGUUGUGAAAGUUUGCGGCUCAACCGUAAAAUUGCAGUUGAUACUGUCAGUCUUGAGUACAGUAGAGGUGGGCGGAAUUCGUGGUGUAGCGGUGAAAUGCUUAGAUAUCACGAAGAACUCCGAUUGCGAAGGCAGCUCACUGGACUGCAACUGACACUGAUGCUCGAAAGUGUGGGUAUCAAACAGGAUUAGAUACCCUGGUAGUCCACACAGUAAACGAUGAAUACUCGCUGUUUGCGAUAUACAGUAAGCGGCCAAGCGAAAGCAUUAAGUAUUCCACCUGGGGAGUACGCCGGCAACGGUGAAACUCAAAGGAAUUGACGGGGGCCCGCACAAGCGGAGGAACAUGUGGUUUAAUUCGAUGAUACGCGAGGAACCUUACCCGGGCUUAAAUUGCAGUGGAAUGAUGUGGAAACAUGUCAGUGAGCAAUCACCGCUGUGAAGGUGCUGCAUGGUUGUCGUCAGCUCGUGCCGUGAGGUGUCGGCUUAAGUGCCAUAACGAGCGCAACCCUUAUCUUUAGUUACUAACAGGUUAUGCUGAGGACUCUAGAGAGACUGCCGUCGUAAGAUGUGAGGAAGGUGGGGAUGACGUCAAAUCAGCACGGCCCUUACGUCCGGGGCUACACACGUGUUACAAUGGGGGGUACAGAAGGCAGCUAGCGGGUGACCGUAUGCUAAUCCCAAAAUCCUCUCUCAGUUCGGAUCGAAGUCUGCAACCCGACUUCGUGAAGCUGGAUUCGCUAGUAAUCGCGCAUCAGCCACGGCGCGGUGAAUACGUUCCCGGGCCUUGUACACACCGCCCGUCAAGCCAUGGGAGCCGGGGGUACCUGAAGUACGUAACCGCAAGGAUCGUCCUAGGGUAAAACUGGUGACUGGGGCUAAGU